AUGGUAUGUACUGGCUUUACUGAUUUCCCUCCUUCUUGAAGAACUGUAAUGUCAUUAAUUUGGUUGUUGCAGGGAAACAGGACUGUUACUUUGAAAAAAUUAGAGUCGUUUAAAAGCAGAGCUAACGCUUGAAUACAUUAGCAUGGAAUAAUGAAAUAGGACGUUCGAUCCUAUUUUGUUGGUUUCUAGGAUUGACGUAAUGAUUAAUAGGGAUAGUUGGGGGCAUUAGUAUUCAAUUGUCAGAGGUGAAAUUCUUGGAUUUAUUGAAGACUAACUACUGCGAAAGCAUUUGCCAAGGAUGUUUUCAUUAAUCAAGAACGAAAGUUAGGGGAUCGAAGACGAUCAGAUACCGUCGUAGUCUUAACCAUAAACUAUGCCGACUAGGGAUCGGAUGAUGUUAAUUUUUUAAUGACUCAUUCGGCGCCUUACG
RNAcentral lists this ribosomal RNA (430 nucleotides) under uncultured Glomeromycotina. Its description in RNAcentral is "SSU rRNA". It matches the Rfam family "Eukaryotic small subunit ribosomal RNA", at positions 667 to 1092 of the family's 1831-position model. The record is from RNAcentral. Lineage: Eukaryota; Fungi; Glomeromycota.